RNAcentral lists this ribosomal RNA (478 nucleotides) under uncultured bacterium. RNAcentral's name for it is "partial 16S ribosomal RNA". It matches the Rfam family "Bacterial small subunit ribosomal RNA", at positions 28 to 523 of the family's 1533-position model. The record is from RNAcentral.
GACGAACGCUGGCGGCGUGCUUAACACAAGCAAGUCGAACGGUAAGGCCCUUCGGGGUACACGAGUGGCGAACAGGUGAGUAACACGUGGGUGAUCUGCCCUGCACUUCGGGAUAAGCCUGGGAAACUGGGUCUAAUACCGGAUAGGACCCUGGGAUGCAUGUCCUGGGGGGGAAAGCUUUUGCGGUGUGGGAUGGGCCCGCUGCCUAUCAGGUUGUUGGUGGGGUGAUGGCCUACCAAGGGGACGAAGGGUAGCCGGCCUGAGAGGGCGACCGGCCACACUGGGACUGAGAUACGGCCCAGACUCCUACGGGAGGCAGCAGUGGGGAAUAUUGCACAAUGGGCGCAAGCCUGAUGCAGCGACGCCGCGUGAGGGAUGACGGCUUUCGGGUUGUAAACCUCUUUCAGCACCGACGAAGCGCAAGUGACGGUAGGUGCAGAAGAAGGACCGGCCAACUACGUGCCAGCCGCCGCCGUAA